AAUGAACGCUGGCGGCAUGCCUUACACAUGCAAGUCGAACGGCAGCAUGACCUGGCUUGCUAGGUUGAUGGCGAGUGGCGAACGGGGGAGUAAUGCAUCGGAGCGUGCCUUUUAGUGGGGGGUAACGUAGCGAAAGUUACGCUAAUACCGCAUAUUCUCUGUGGAGGAAAGCAGGGGACCUUCGGGCCUUGCGCUAGAAGAGCGGCCGAUGUCGGAUUAGCUAGUUGGUGAGGUAAAGGCUCACCAAGGCAACGAUCCGUAGCGGGUCUGAGAGGAUGAUCCGCCACACUGGGACUGAGACACGGCCCAGACUCCUACGGGAGGCAGCAGUGGGGAAUUUUGGACAAUGGGCGCAAGCCUGAUCCAGCCAUGCCGCGUGAGUGAAGAAGGCCUUCGGGUUGUAAAGCUCUUUCGGCUGGGAAGAAAUCGCACCCUCUAAUACAGGGUGUGGAUGACGGUACCAGCAUAAGAAGCACCGGCUAACUACGUG
Molecule: ribosomal RNA, 490 nt
Filed under: uncultured bacterium
Lineage: Bacteria
Description: partial 16S ribosomal RNA
Rfam family: Bacterial small subunit ribosomal RNA
Source: RNAcentral